GGGAGGGCGAGCGGAGGUGCCGAGGUGGGAGGAGUGGCGGCCGGCUGGCCGGGGUCGCCUAGUUCUAGGUGGGUCCGACAUCCCGUUCGUUUCUGACGCAGAAGUCUACAAAGUCUUUGGUCUUAGAACCUUACCACCGACUACGCGUCUCGAGUCUAAGUUACCGACCGUCGAGUCCAAGACGACGGCUUUUCGUGCAACUGUCCACAGAACUGUUUUCUCGGGUCCUUUUCCGAGGUUUCUUUUUAGUAUUUCGACUUGCUCUCUUUGAAUUUGCACUGGUCAACUUACUGGAAAAACAACUCGAGUCGUCAUACGAUCUAGUACUAGCUGUUUUAUCCCCUUUUCGAUGUCAUAACCCACUACAACGUGCUCAUGACGCUCUAAAUUAAUGAGUUCAACUUAGAGAAUCUUUCCUCGUUAGAUGAGAAGAUUGACUCGCGGUUAUACAGCCAAGUCUCUUCUGGCUCGACGUUCUACUCUUAUGAUGUGAGUCUCGGGUCUAUUAUCUUGAUGUCUUGCUCGAAGCACGUUCCUAGCCUUUGUCAUCGGACUUAGAUUCGUCGGAACGCCACGGUGUAGGUUAUCCCUCGUCGACGUGAUCAUUAAAUCGUUGGGUGGGUUGCGGCGUACUAUGUACCUCGUUACGAAGAUUAAAUUCGUGGUACGCGUACCACGGGGGUUGGUUGUGUGGUAGAGGUGACGUCUUAGUCGUCGUAGUGAGACAACGAAGACCAGUCCAACGUAGUGCCGGAGUCCUCGAGGUCGAGAAGGGCCCCUGUAGUCGUAGUUGCCUGGCUCUUACAAGGCCCGUAUCUUCGUUGGGUCGAUGAAGCUCGGAACGCCUAAGGAACGGACCUGUCGAAGCGGAGUCGGAAGGUGGUUGUAGGGUUCUUCUUUCGUCGCCGCCGCCGCCUCCGCGUGGCCCUUUAUCUUUUCUUGCUUUUUGGUCAAUCGGUUAACUGCCCAGUGUUGUUUAGUCAAGAACCACUAUUGUCGAGAGAACAUUUAUGGUUGUUCGAUGAGUGGAAUGACCAGGUUUGGAUGAUCAACGAGAUAUACAAAUUUAUUGAAAUGUUCAUACAAUACUAUAUUAAAACGUCGUCCGAUUAGUCUAAACAUUAGAUCUUGAGUGAUCAGCCACUAUACAAAAGCGGUUCCAAAAGUUGACAUUAUUCUUGUAUAUGUUGACCUGACACGUUCGCGCGGGGGGAUUCGCAGCCACUGCCUGUCACAGCUCGCCGUGGAGUAAACAGGUAAACCUGUUGGUGACACUGCGGACCUAUUAAUUCGAUGUCACUUGAAGACGAUUACUACGGUGUAGUG
RNAcentral lists this ribosomal RNA (1326 nucleotides) under Triticum aestivum (bread wheat). RNAcentral describes it as "partial small subunit ribosomal RNA". The record is from RNAcentral. Lineage: Eukaryota; Viridiplantae; Streptophyta; Magnoliopsida; Poales; Poaceae.